Molecule: long non-coding RNA, 318 nt
Organism: Anopheles stephensi (Asian malaria mosquito)
Lineage: Eukaryota; Metazoa; Arthropoda; Insecta; Diptera; Culicidae
Exons: 2
Source: RefSeq, a predicted model, not a curated record
GGACACGACGAUCGACGGUCUCCAGUAGCAGUAGUUGCUUGAGCGGGUUGUAAUGCUUCAUCGGUAAAUGGAGACCAUGAUGUGAUUCCGUCAUAAACUGCACGCACUUUUCUUUAAUGCAAAUUUUCGUGUUCUUCCUUGAUAGACCAUUCUACUUCUAUCUUUGCCAUCGAACACCACACCGGACAGUAAGAACGAAGAAGAAAUGGUAAAACACCAACCCAACACACACAUACACACACAGCUUCGUCUAAGAAACACGCAAUCUUUUCGGACCCAGCCUGCUGUAGGAAUUGCUGCCCGUCUCCCGGACACGUU